Long non-coding RNA from Saccostrea cuccullata (small rock oyster), 585 nucleotides. RefSeq lists it as uncharacterized. Lineage: Eukaryota; Metazoa; Mollusca; Bivalvia; Ostreida; Ostreidae. The transcript has 3 exons. The record is from RefSeq and is a predicted model, not a curated record.
UAAGAAACACUUAAUGUCAACAAGAUUUUCUGAUUGACAAGAGAAAAGGUUAAACAGGAACUUCAAUUGUGAACAUUGCAGAGAACACACCCAUCAGAAGAUGACCCUCAGAAAUAGGACAAUUGAUGAAUAAAAUGGACAGAGGCAGAACUGAAGGAGAUGCAUGAAAUGAGGAAUAUUUCAAAGAUUGCCUGAGCAUAACCACUGCUACUGGAUAAACAUAUGGCAAUAUAAAAGAGCAGGGUCAAUGGAGGUAUCAUACAGUAUAGGCCAUGAGAGACCCUGAAGAAGAAAGUAUUGAACAGAAACAAAAAUAAAACCAUUUUGACAUUUAUUGAAAUAUAGGAUCAAAGUCUUACAUGUAAAAUUUGGGCAUGUAAUGACUUUUCUCUAGCUCUUAGACUUAUAACAGUGAUGAUUUGAUUGAAUAUCUUUAUCCCGAUUUGUCGAAAAGAUUUGGACAUAGUGCAUCAAUUAUUUUAAAGUUUUGAUACAACGAAUUCAUUCAUUGUACUUGUAACUAAGUUUUCUGGUGCGACACUGUUUUAUCGGCUUCAAAACUAAGUUUGUGAUUUCCAAACCAGA